This 501-nucleotide ribosomal RNA is filed under the name uncultured Glomus. RNAcentral describes it as "SSU rRNA". It matches the Rfam family "Eukaryotic small subunit ribosomal RNA", at positions 569 to 1074 of the family's 1831-position model. The record is from RNAcentral. Lineage: Eukaryota; Fungi; Glomeromycota; Glomeromycetes; Glomerales; Glomeraceae.
AGCAGCCGCGGUAAUUCCAGCUCCAAUAGCGUAUAUUAAAGUUGUUGCAGUUAAAAAGCUCGUAGUUGAAUUUCGGGGUCAGUAGAUUGGUCAUGCCACUGGUAUGUACUGGUCUCACUGAUUCCUCCUUCCUGAUGAGCCGUAAUGCCAUUAAUUUGGCGUUGCGAGGAAUCUGGACUGUUACUUUGAAAAAUUAGAGUGUUUAAAGCAGGCUAACGCUUGAAUACAUUAGCAUGGAAUAAUGAAAUAGGACGUUUGACCCUAUUUUGUUGGUUUCUAGGAUCGACGUAAUGAUUAAUAGGGAUAGUUGGGGGCAUUAGUAUUCAAUUGUCAGAGGUGAAAUUCUUGGAUUUAUUGAAGACUAACUACUGCGAAAGCAUUUGCCAAGGAUGUUUUCAUUAAUCAAGAACGAAAGUUAGGGGAUCGAAGACGAUCAGAUACCGUCGUAGUCUUAACCAUAAACUAUGCCGACUAGGGAUCGGAUGAUGUUAAUUUUAAUGA